RNAcentral lists this small nuclear RNA (104 nucleotides) under Dasypus novemcinctus (nine-banded armadillo). The record is from RNAcentral. Lineage: Eukaryota; Metazoa; Chordata; Mammalia; Cingulata; Dasypodidae.
AUGCUUGCCUUGGCAGCACGUAUACUAAAAUUGGAAUGAUACAGAGGUUAGCAUGGCCCCUGUGCAAGGAUGAUAUGCAAAUUUGUGAAAUGUUUCAUAUUUUA